Ciona intestinalis (vase tunicate) is the source of this 176-nucleotide small nuclear RNA. Its record names the gene U2. It matches the Rfam family "U2 spliceosomal RNA". From Rfam's summary of the family: U2 is a small nuclear RNA (snRNA) component of the spliceosome (involved in pre-mRNA splicing). Complementary binding between U2 snRNA (in an area lying towards the 5' end but 3' to hairpin I) and the branchpoint sequence (BPS) of the intron results the bulging out of an unpaired adenosine, on the BPS, which initiates a nucleophilic attack at the intronic 5' splice site, thus starting the first of two transesterification reactions that mediate splicing. NCBI's taxonomy places the organism in Eukaryota, Metazoa, Chordata, Ascidiacea, Phlebobranchia, Cionidae. The record is from Ensembl.
AUCGCUUCUCGGCUUUUUUAGCUGUAAUCAAGUGUAGUACCUGUUCUUCUUAGGGUGAAAUUUGAGACGGAAACGAUUCGUUUCCUAUUUUGAACACAGAGCACGGUAAUGAACCUUGCUUCUAUUGCUCCGGGUUGUCCUGGUUUUGCAUUAUCGCCAGGUUCGGCCCACAUUCC